Molecule: transfer RNA, 76 nt
Filed under: Pseudomonadota bacterium
Lineage: Bacteria; Pseudomonadati; Pseudomonadota
Description: Proteobacteria bacterium tRNA-Met
Rfam family: tRNA
About the family: Transfer RNA (tRNA) molecules are approximately 80 nucleotides in length.
Source: RNAcentral
GGGACAUUAGCUCAGGGGUUAGAGCAGCGGACUCAUAAUCCGUUGGUCGUAGGUUCAAUUCCUACAUGUCCCACCA